Molecule: ribosomal RNA, 253 nt
Filed under: uncultured bacterium
Lineage: Bacteria
Description: partial 16S ribosomal RNA
Rfam family: Bacterial small subunit ribosomal RNA
Source: RNAcentral
UACGUAGGUGGCAAGCGUUGUCCGGAUUUACUGGGCGUAAAGAGCGUGUAGGCGGGCUGGCAAGUCUGGUGUGAAAGCUCCCGGCUAAACUGGGAGAGUGCAUUGGAGACUGCCAAUCUAGAGGCUGUCAGAGGGUCGUGGAAUUCCGGGUGUAGUGGUGAAAUGCGUAGAGAUCCGGAGGAACACCAGUGGCGAAGGCGACGACCUGGGGCAGAACUGACGCUGAGACGCGAAAGCACGGGGAGCGAACGGG